RNAcentral lists this ribosomal RNA (1636 nucleotides) under Belonolaimus longicaudatus. RNAcentral's name for it is "SSU rRNA". It matches the Rfam family "Eukaryotic small subunit ribosomal RNA". Lineage: Eukaryota; Metazoa; Nematoda; Chromadorea; Rhabditida; Belonolaimidae. The record is from RNAcentral.
AUAAGUAUAAACGACUUGAUCGUGAAACCGCGAACGGCUCAUUAUAACAGCUAUAAUUUACUUGACCUUGACAAUUUACUUGGAUAACUGUGGUAAUUCUAGAGCUAAUACAUGCACCAAAGCUCCGACUUCGGGAAGAGCGCAUUUAUUAGAACAAAACCAGGCGGCUUCGGCCGUACUCUGUUGACUCAGAAUAACUAAGCUGAUCGCAUGGUCUUGAACCGGCGACGUGUCUUUCAAGUAUCUGCCUUAUCAACUUUCGAUGGUAGUGUAUCUGACUACCAUGGUGGUGACGGGUAACGGAGGAUAAGGGUUCGACUCCGGAGAAGGGGCCUGAGAAAUGGCCACUACGUCUAAGGAUGGCAGCAGGCGCGCAAAUUACCCACUCUCAGAACGAGGAGGUAGUGACGAGAAAUAACGAGAUCGUUCUCUUUCGAGGCCGAUCAUCGGAAUGGGUACAAUUUAAACCCUUUAACGAGUAUCUACGAGAGGGCAAGUCUGGUGCCAGCAGCCGCGGUAAUUCCAGCUCUCGAAAUGCAUAGAAUUAUUGCUGCGGUUAAAAAGCUCGUAGUUGGAUCUGUGCUGGCCGGUCGGUCCACCUUCGGGUGUGUACUGAUUUGGUCGGCUUUCUAGUUGGAUUUUCUCCUAGUGAGCUUCACUGUUCGCUUGGAGUGUCUAACGAGUUUACUUUGAACAAAUCAGAGUGCUUCAAACAGGCGUUUCGCUUGAAUGUUCGUGCAUGGAAUAAUAGAAGAGGAUUUCGGUUCUAUUUUAUUGGUUUUAUAGACUGAGAUAAUGGUUAACAGAGACAAACGGGGGCAUUCGUAUUGCUGCGUGAGAGGUGAAAUUCUUGGACCGUAGCAAGACGAACUACAGCGAAAGCAUUUGCCAAGAAUGUCUUCAUUAAUCAAGAACGAAAGUCAGAGGUUCGAAGGCGAUCAGAUACCGCCCUAGUUCUGACCGUAAACGAUGCCAACUAGCGAUCCGCCGGUGGUUUUUUUGCCCUGGUGGGGAGCUUCCCGGAAACGAAAGUCUUCCGGUUCCGGGGGAAGUAUGGUUGCAAAGCUGAAACUUAAAGGAAUUGACGGAAGGGCACCACCAGGAGUGGAGCCUGCGGCUUAAUUUGACUCAACACGGGGAAACUCACCCGGCCCGGACACCGUAAGGAUUGACAGAUUGAUAGCUUUUUCAUGAUUCGGUGGAUGGUGGUGCAUGGCCGUUCUUAGUUCGUGGAGCGAUUUGUCUGGUUUAUUCCGAUAACGAGCGAGACUCUAGCCUACUAACUAGUCCACACAUUGUCACUGUGUGCGCGACUUCUUAGAGGGAUUUUCGGUGUACAGCCGCACGAAAUUGAGCAAUAACAGGUCUGUGAUGCCCUUAGAUGUCCGGGGCUGCACGCGCGCUACACUGGCAAAAUCAGCGUGCUUGUCCUUCCCCGAAAGGGGUAGGUAAACCCUUGAAAAUUUGCCGUGAUUGGGAUCGGAAAUUGCAAUUAUUUUCCGUGAACGAGGAAUUCCAAGUAAGUGCGAGUCAUCAACUCGCGUUGAUUACGUCCCUGCCCUUUGUACACACCGCCCGUCGCUGCCCGGGACUGAGCCAUUUCGAGAAACUUGGGGAUUGUUGGUUUAGCGGAUUU